GCAUAUCAUGGAAUGCAAGAAGGCUCAUGGGCAGAAUGUUGUACCGGUGUUCUACCACGUAGAUCCUUCGGAUGUGGUGGACCAAACUGGGGAUUUUGGGAAAGGAUUUGAUAGAGCUAAAAAAGAAGCACAAGCUAGUGCAGAUAUGCGCAUUGUGGAGAAGUGGAUAGCUGCUUUGAAGGACGCAGCCAAUCUAUCAGGAUUUGAUUCAGCUGUUUCCAGGUAAAAUGCCUUUCUCUUGUCAUUUGGUUUGGGAAUUCUUAAAAUUGCAAAAAAAUGUAUAAAAAAAAUAAAAUUAUUUCCGUUUCUGCGUGGCUUGGGAAAUAUUUUCCAAGUGUUUUUGGCCACAGAGGCAAAAAUAUUAUUAAAAAUAUUUAUUUCAUAAGAA
This 388-nucleotide unclassified non-coding RNA is filed under the name Hevea brasiliensis (rubber tree). Lineage: Eukaryota; Viridiplantae; Streptophyta; Magnoliopsida; Malpighiales; Euphorbiaceae. The record is from RNAcentral.